UGAGAGUCCCUCUCAGGCGCUAAAUCUGAAGAGCACUUCAAAGAGGGAUCCACAACACAACACACAUGCACACUCACAAACUAAAAUAUUGAGAUUUUGUAAAAGACAGACUCAACUUUGGGGUGGCAGAAAACUUAAAUCAGUGUGCCAUAAACAAGAAGACACGCGGCGGACUGCGCGCGAGCGAGGAGUCGCAUCGAUCACGCAGAAUGCUGCGAGGCUUCACCUUCGCACUGAUCGGACUCGUUCAGCUCGUUUCAUCGAUCGAUUGAACAGUCAGUCACUCGGACACUACUCUCCAAUAAAAACCUAUUUUAAAAGCAGCGUUUCCUGUCCCGAGCACAUUUAUCAGUAUCACUGACGCCUCCGGGACCCUCUCCAGCCGUGCCGUCAUAAACCCCGCAGGUUACCGUCACUUUUCAACAUGAUCAACACCUUUUGCCAAGGGUAGUUCAGAGCAAUGGCACUUUCUUGUAAACCCUGUGAACUGGAUAUUUGCUUCUCCCACCUCAAGUAAGAGUCAAAGACCAUUUUCUGUAGUCAAGAUGCAGAUCCUUUCAGCUGUUUUGCUCCUUUUCUGUUUACACAAGAACCUGCUGCAGCCCGAGUCUUCACAUCAAGCCCUUGCUGGAUUUGCCAUGUGAGGGGAGAACGUAUAUCAGGCUCUCAGAAUUGGGCUGAGGACACCAAAUGAGAGGAAAAAGGAGUGUCAGAAUGGAUGUGUUUGUAGGUAAUCCAGAAAUUCCUGGGAGAGAGAUUACAUGAGGGUUUCAGCGAAUACGUCUGUAAAUAUGAGCGUUUUGCUCUAGAUCGGCAUUAUCAGUCAUUGUUGCUUUCUAGAAGCCUGCCUCAGUAAUCCCAGUGUUAUCUGUGACAUUUACUGCUAUAAGCAGUGAUGUUGGGUAGUGUGUGGUUUCUCAUUUUUGCUUAUGUCAUGUGGAAAAACAUUCAAGAUCAGGUGCCGUUUACAUUACCAUCAUUUUUUUUGUUUGCUUUGUUGUUGUUUUUAUAAAUGAUGUAGAUACAGUAUGUUUAUUGUGAAUGAAUAGACAUGGCAGCCAUGUGGGAUUCAAUUA
This is a long non-coding RNA of Carassius auratus (goldfish), 1076 nucleotides long. RefSeq lists it as uncharacterized. The record is from RefSeq and is a predicted model, not a curated record. NCBI's taxonomy places the organism in Eukaryota, Metazoa, Chordata, Actinopteri, Cypriniformes, Cyprinidae. The transcript is spliced from 3 exons.